Molecule: ribosomal RNA, 483 nt
Filed under: Streptomyces galilaeus
Lineage: Bacteria; Bacillati; Actinomycetota; Actinomycetes; Kitasatosporales; Streptomycetaceae
Description: bacterial SSU rRNA
Rfam family: Bacterial small subunit ribosomal RNA
Source: RNAcentral
CCACUUCGGUGGGGAUUAGUGGCGAACGGGUGAGUAACACGUGGGCAAUCUGCCCUUCACUCUGGGACAAGCCCUGGAAACGGGGUCUAAUACCGGAUAACACUUCUGCUCUCAUGGGCAGGGGUUAAAAGCUCCGGCGGUGAAGGAUGAGCCCGCGGCCUAUCAGCUUGUUGGUGAGGUAAUGGCUCACCAAGGCGACGACGGGUAGCCGGCCUGAGAGGGCGACCGGCCACACUGGGACUGAGACACGGCCCAGACUCCUACGGGAGGCAGCAGUGGGGAAUAUUGCACAAUGGGCGAAAGCCUGAUGCAGCGACGCCGCGUGAGGGAUGACGGCCUUCGGGUUGUAAACCUCUUUCAGCAGGGAAGAAGCGAAAGUGACGGUACCUGCAGAAGAAGCGCCGGCUAACUACGUGCCAGCAGCCGCGGUAAUACGUAGGGCGCAAGCGUUGUCCGGAAUUAUUGGGCGUAAAGAGCUCGUAG